GAGUUUGAUCAUGGCUCAGAUUGAACGCUGGCGGCAUGCUUUACACAUGCAAGUCGAGCGGCAGCGCGGGGGCAACCCUGGCGGCGAGCGGCGAACGGGUGAGUAAUACAUCGGAACGUACCCCGUAGUGGGGGAUAACCCGGCGAAAGCCGGACUAAUACCGCAUAUGCUCUACGGAGGAAAGUGGGGGACCCGCAAGGGCCUCAUGCUAUGGGAGCGGCCGAUGUCCGAUUAGCUUGUUGGCGGGGUAAAGGCCCACCAAGGCGACGGUCGGUAGCUGGUCUGAGAGGAUGAUCAGCCACACUGGGACUGAGACACGGCCCAGACUCCUACGGGAGGCAGCAGUGGGGAAUUUUGGACAAUGGGGGCAACCCUGAUCCAGCCAUGCCGCGUGCGGGAAGAAGGCCUUCGGGUUGUAAACCGCUUUUGUCCGGGAAGAAAAGGCAUCUCCUAAUACGAGGUGCUCUUGACGGUACUGGAAGAAUAAGCACCGGCUAACUACGUGCCAGCAGCCGCGGUAAUACGUAGGGUGCGGGCGUUAAUCGGAAUUACUGGGCGUAAAGCGUGCGCAGGCGGUUCGUCAAGUCUGAUGUGAAAGCCCCGGGCUCAACCUGGGAACUGCAUUGGAUACUAGCGAGCUUGAGUGUGGCAGAGGGGGGUGGAAUUCCACGUGUAGCAGUGAAAUGCGUAGAGAUGUGGAGGAACACCGAUG
This 712-nucleotide ribosomal RNA is filed under the name uncultured bacterium. RNAcentral describes it as "bacterial SSU rRNA". It matches the Rfam family "Bacterial small subunit ribosomal RNA", at positions 9 to 714 of the family's 1533-position model. The record is from RNAcentral.